RNAcentral lists this ribosomal RNA (245 nucleotides) under uncultured archaeon. RNAcentral describes it as "partial 16S ribosomal RNA". It matches the Rfam family "Archaeal small subunit ribosomal RNA", at positions 474 to 719 of the family's 1478-position model. The record is from RNAcentral.
UACCAGCCCCCUGAGUGGUAUGGACGAUUAUUUGGCCUAAAGCGUCCGUAGCCGGCUCAGUAAGUCUUUCGUCAAAUCUAACGAUUCAAUCGUUAGACCGCGGAAGAUACUGCUAGGCUAGAGGAUGGGAGAGGUCGACGGUAGUCCUGGGGUAGGGGUGGAAUCCUAUAAUCCCAGGAGGACCACCAGUGGCGAAGGCGAUCGACUAGAACAUGCCUGACGGUGAUGGACGAAAGCUGGGGGAG